AGCGAACGCUGGCGGCGUGCUUAACACAUGCAAGUCGAGCGAAGGUGUUUCAAGGGUAACCUUGAGAUACACUUAGCGGCGGACGGGUGAGUAAUACGUGGAUAACUUACCUCUAGGCCUGGGAUAACCCCGGGAAACUGGGGCUAAUACCUGAUAAGACCACAUUGUCUACGGACAAAGGGGUAAAAGGUGGCUGUGCAAACAGCUAUCGCCAAAAGAUAGGUUCACGUCCCAUCAGGCAGUUGGUGAGGUAAUGGCUCACCAAACCAAAGACGGGUAGCCGGCCUUGGC
This 291-nucleotide ribosomal RNA is filed under the name uncultured bacterium. RNAcentral's name for it is "partial 16S ribosomal RNA". It matches the Rfam family "Bacterial small subunit ribosomal RNA", at positions 29 to 297 of the family's 1533-position model. The record is from RNAcentral.